This is a long non-coding RNA of Tupaia belangeri chinensis (Chinese tree shrew), 370 nucleotides long. RefSeq lists it as uncharacterized. Lineage: Eukaryota; Metazoa; Chordata; Mammalia; Scandentia; Tupaiidae. The record is from RefSeq and is a predicted model, not a curated record. The transcript is spliced from 3 exons.
AACAAAUCUUGAUUCACCACCCGCUCUUGAUUUGAUUAAUAUUUCACCUUAGUUAGUGGAGUAGUGAAGUGGCCAGGAUCUUCAUAUACAGAGGUUUUUAGAGAUGCAGUAACUGAAACUAAAGGAGUUGAAGCAUUCCAUUUAUUUGACAAUUAUUCUUUGUGGUACCACCCUAGAUCUAUCUGAGUCCAGAGCCCAUUCUUUUUCUACUACAGCAUGUUACUGAGAAGAGACUGGUUGAAGAUUAGUAAGAAAGGAGUAGAUGAUGAAAUAAGAUCUCUGAAGAAGCUGAAGGAGACGAGACUCAGAGCACUUAUAACGAUACUGGCCUUGAAUCACCGAGGACUAUCUUCGUCUCUGACUGAAAAUC